Molecule: ribosomal RNA, 300 nt
Filed under: uncultured Pedobacter sp.
Lineage: Bacteria; Pseudomonadati; Bacteroidota; Sphingobacteriia; Sphingobacteriales; Sphingobacteriaceae
Description: bacterial SSU rRNA
Rfam family: Bacterial small subunit ribosomal RNA
Source: RNAcentral
GCUAACUCCGUGCCAGCAGCCGCGGUAAUACGGAGGAUCCAAGCGUUAUCCGGAUUUAUUGGGUUUAAAGGGUGCGUAGGCGGCCUAUUAAGUCAGGGGUGAAAGACGGUGGCUCAACCAUCGCAGUGCCCUUGAUACUGAUGGGCUUGAUUACACUUGAGGUAGGCGGAAUGUGACAAGUAGCGGUGAAAUGCAUAGAUAUGUCACAGAACACCAAUUGCGAAGGCAGCUUACUAAGGUGUCAAUGACGCUGAGGCACGAAAGCGUGGGGAUCAAACAGGAUUAGAUACCCUUGUAGUC